ACCAGGUUCAAUAAAAAGCGUUUUAAUUGACCAUUACAAUACACAGAGAUAUCUCAUGGAGAUUGGCAAGAAGCAAUCUAACAUCAUGUUACAAUUCCUCAUAUUUUAUACAUAUGACCCGGAACCGGCCUUUCGUUUAGCUUGAAUCAGAACUCCAAAUAUGGUCUUAUUUCCUAUUGGCUAAAUUCUAGCAUAACUGACAAAUUUAAGGUUCAAAAGUUUAAGCAUCCCAUGAUCUUUCUAACAGAUGACUUGACCACAGUCAUGCGUCUUACUUCGCUAAAAUAUCGCUUGUCUAUGAUAAAAGUUAACACAUAUAAGACUUCCUCUUUCACAACUUAAGCACACAUUUCACCUUUCCCCCCCUGGCAACAUCUGACAAGACACGCUUUCAAAAUAACCUUUCCUUUUGCAAUCCAAAAAACAGUCCAGACAUCCAUUAAUAAAUUGUAGCAAUAAAACAUAGUUUCUUCUUAUUUCUUAGAGUAAAUAUUCUUCUUUGAUUAUAUUUUAAGAUGAUGAAUAAACAGCAAAAUGGCUGACAGCAUGUCAGUAGCAGGUUACAUAUGUUCACAGUCCUCCCUUUGGUGCUAGGACUUUCACCACAAAAAGCUCCGUGCAACACUUCCAUGUUUAGCGAAGGUCAUUCAGUGAGCUAGUGAUUUUAAACAGCACUUGCAGGACUUUCCAUAUAGAUGCGCACACGAUCAAUAUCUUCACGAGAAAGCAUGUCUGUAUUCCAAGUCGGUAUGAGUUGUGACCGGAUAGGAGACAUUUCAACAUUCGAAAUUGUGCCAGGGGGAGAUGAAGGUGAACAGCUCUUGAGGAUUAAUCGGCAUGAACACUUUAGGACAUUCACUGCAACAUAUAUAAACACAAGCAUCAAUACUACUAAAAUAACUCCAAUGAGAAUACGUUUUCCCAUUGUUCCCAACCAAUUAGUUAAACCAAAACUCCAGUCAAAACCCCAAUUUAAACCUCCCGAAGAAGUAUUGUGAACUUCUCUAAGUUUAAUUUGUACUUCAUGCAAUUUAUCUACAUCUGUAUGAAUCUGACCAGUAACAUUAUCUAUCUUUAAACGACAUCUUGUUUUUAUUAGUGCACAAACACCACCUUCGGAGGCCAACAAAUAAUCUAGGGCAAACCUAUUUUGCAUAAUCAUAGCUGAAGCUUGUUCCUGUUCCUGCAGACAAUUUUUCAAUAGCAUCUCCUGUAUUAUUAAAGGCUUCAUCUAGUAUAUCUCCUAACAAGUUUAAUUUGUACAUUAAUUCAAUAACCCCCCAUGUAGGUACAAAACCUGCAAAUAGCCUAUCUUCUUCACCAGAUUUUACAGUUCUUUCGGUUUUAUCUUUUUUGGAACUAAUAACCUUUCUUUUAUUCCUCACCCUUCCUUCAGGCAAAUUUUCAUGAAGGGUUAACGCUGGGAUAAUAUUACCUAGAUAACAAGUUUCCACCCAAUUACAUGGAAGUCUUUUUACCGCCCAACUACCACAUAAAUAGUAUACCCCAAAUGGAAGAUGGAUAUCAAUAACAUGAGAAUCUGAGCAGUCAAAAAUAGGUUGAUUAAUAUAGGGCAGUAGCAUAAAAAGAUUGGAAGUUAAAGUUUGAGUAUUAAAGUAGGCCCAUCUCAAAAUAGUGACAUUUAAAUGUUCAUUCUGAUCAUAAUUAUUAUCCAUGAUUUCUACCUCAGAAGUCAAAUUUACCCAUACAUGAUUAGUAAUCACCGGGAUUCUAUCCUUGAUGGGACAUUUUGUCAAAAUAUCUUCUAAUAAGGGUUUCCAACAAAAAGCUUUCAAUCUACCAGUACAAGGGGCAGAAUUAGUUUCAGACCCACAUAGAUUAUAAAGGACAUUGUUUUCAAAAAUAACAAUAGCAUUGCUUAUAGGCUUAACAAUCUUGUCAGGACUUUUCUGAUCCCUGUUAGAAAUUACUACUGCUCUGCUAGUAAUAGGAUAUGUUAAAUGAACCUUAGCAGGUUCGCCAGAUUUGGAUACUUCAUUCUGAAUAAAUCCAACAAACCCCGUUUUAUUUGCUCUUAUUUUCUCACAAAGACCCAUAAAGAUUCCAUAGACCAUGGCACCCCCACAAAAGGAUAACCAUAGUUCAUGGAAUGCGGAGCAAACCCACAAACCCAACAAUGAUUACUUUUGUUUGACAAUUUAUACAAUUCAGUAGCUGUUUUAACAAAAUGAUUAUCUAUCUCCCAUGAAGAAAAAUACUUGGCUCCCUGGCCCAAGCUACACGUGUAUUAAAGAAAAAAAAGAGGAGCUAACGUAGUGUAGAGGAUGAAAAAUUAAAAAAAAUGUCAUAAUGACAAUCAUUAAGGACAAUAUAAGUUUAACCAGUUUGAGAUUCAUGAAGAAAAACAGUAGAGUUGACUUUGGAUUAGAAAGAUACUCCCCUUAUAAAGUACCCCUUUUUAGAAGGGAAAACGGCUUCCUUAGUCCUCUAUUCUUCUUCCAGUGAAAAAAUCUUUUCCAGCGCUUGUCAGUUUACAAUGGGAAAUGUGGAUCCAAGAUUUAACCCCUGCGACUUUAACAGCUGAAUUAGUGGUUAAUAACACUUGAGAAGGUUCUUUCCACCUUGGUUGCAACGCGUGCUUUCGUGAAUGAUCUUUUAUCAUAACAUAAUCUCCAGGAGCAAUGGCAUGCAAAGGUUGGUAUUCACUUGUUCGCUGUACAGCUUUUACCUGCAUAUAGAGAGACUAAUCGUUUUGUUAGCUACAUGCAAUAUGUCAUUACUAAAUCAUCAUUUAUCUCAUGAGAAUAACAUUUUAUAGGUACCCCUCCUGUGAACAUUGGUCUUCCCAUUAGAAUUUCAUGAGGGGAUAACCCUGCUUUCAAACUAGAGAGAAUCUCAUAGACAUUAAGGCAAGAGGAAGUGCAUUAAGCCACUUUAACUUUCUCUGCUGCAAUUUUUGCAAUUUUGUUUUUCAAUGUUCCAUUGGCCCUUUCUACUGCUCCUUCUGACUGAGGAUGAUGAGAGCAAUGUAAAUGAUAAGGGAUUUGCUAAAUUUUUGCUAUCUGUUGCACUACUUUUCCUGUGAAAUGUGUUCCCUGAUCUGAGUAAAUGUGCCGAGGCAAUCCAUACCUGGGUAUAAAUUCUUGUAACAAUUUCUUAAACACUGUAGACAUAUCGGCAUGGCAACAAGGAUAAGCCUCAAUCCAACCUGAGAAUGUAUCUAAUAUUACUAGCACAUACCGAUACUGCAUUACCUUUGGUAAUUCAAUGAAAUCCAUUUGUAAAUUUACAAAUGGACCUCAUGAACAGGGAGGAUGAUUUAGGUCUCUGACCUGCAUUGUAUUGUAAACAAAUAACACAUGAAGAACACACCAGUGCCAAUACAGAUUCUAGGCCCAGCCUUGACCAUUCAGAAUUAAACAAUGAUGGCAAUGCUGGUCUUCCACUAAAUAUACACUCUCCCCACCAAAAUCACUUACUUCUUCUUCCCUCAGUAUCACAUACAAUUCAUUUACUUUCAAAUGUACCAUAGGUUCUGGACCUUGGGUCACUGGUACACUAACAAUACAUAUUCAGACCCCAAUCUUCCUCUACAUCUAGUCUGUCUUUUUCUUCUAAUUGCUUUCUUGCCCCCUUUACCUCCUUGCAAUCUGUUGCUAUAUGACCAUAUCCAUCACAAUUGAAACAUUUGAUAAAUGUUCUUACAUUAUUCUGUGGGGGUCUUCUGGCUAUGUUUUGUCUUGGCUGAUGUGCAUAAUAUAUAACAGGAAUUUGUUCAGCUUGUAGCAUUAUGUGCUCAGCUUUUGCAUUUUCCUUGAUUUGAAUAGCUUGUCAAAUUUCUGAUGCUGCACUUAAUACAAUAUUAAGUGAUUUAUCCCGUCAUCCCAGUAAGGAUAACAUCAAUUGUUUUUUUUUACUUUAGCAUCCAAACCAUUUACUAAGGUAUUCACUAUGAACGGCUUAAUUGAUUAAUUCGUGAUAUCUUCAAAACUUCCAAAAACCUUAAUUGCUUCCGCAUAUUCAUAGGGGUUUUCUCCUUUCUUUUGCACUAUGCUAUGUAUAGUCAAUAGGCUGGGUAAAAACUGUUUUUACUUUAAUGCUGAGGAAUGCAUACCAAUUCUUAAGGACAACAUCACUCCUCUCAUCAGGGCAAUUUUCCCAUAUGUGUGCAACUGCUUGUCCCCCCACCCCUGCAGGCCAUGAGAAAGGUGAUUCGUUAUAUCCUGCCACCCAUUUAGUAUGUUCUGUAGGGGUUAAUACUGUCUCCAUUAACUCAUUAAGAUCUUAUGUUGUGGGGAAAUAGCUGGCACACAUUAUUUUUAAAUGUUUUACAAACCCAUUUGGAUCUAGAGGGGGCAGGAAAUGAUACCUGUAAAAAUGCUAUGUCUUGUGGGCUCCACGGUUGACAAAUCCUCCGUGGUCUCCCAUCAUUAUCCAUCUGUCCCACUUCUCUAAUAGGUAAAAUCAUAGCCUCCCUCCCAUCACUCUCAGGCAACACAUUGCUACAUCCUGAUAAACCUGAUAGUAACCACAGCAUGAUCAGCAAAUCUUUUAGGCAGUCUAAUAUCCCCCUCAGGUCUACCACCUCAAUGCAACAUGGCUG
Molecule: long non-coding RNA, 4564 nt
Filed under: Pelobates cultripes (western spadefoot toad)
Lineage: Eukaryota; Metazoa; Chordata; Amphibia; Anura; Pelobatidae
Source: RNAcentral